Molecule: non-coding RNA, 107 nt
Organism: Capsicum annuum
Lineage: Eukaryota; Viridiplantae; Streptophyta; Magnoliopsida; Solanales; Solanaceae
Source: Rfam
AAUUAGUGAUAAGGGAAAUCAGGAAGCAAUGACUUGAACCUCUCCCAAACUUGACACAAAUUUCCACCAUCCUUUUGCCUGAAUUUUAAGAUCCUAGUCCUCAAAUU